UACGGGGGGAGCAAGCGUUGUUCGGAUUUACUGGGCGUAAAGCGCGCGUAGGCGGCUUUGUAAGUCAGGGGUGAAAUCCCACAGCUUAACUGUGGAACUGCCUUUGAAACUGCAAAGCUUGAGUGUCGGAGGGGAUAGCGGAAUUGCUAAUGUAGAGGUGAAAUUCGUAGAUAUUAGCAGGAACACCGGUGGCGAAGGCGGCUAUCUGGACGACAACUGACGCUGAGGCGCGAAAGCGUGGGGAUCAAACAGG
Molecule: ribosomal RNA, 253 nt
Filed under: uncultured prokaryote
Description: partial 16S ribosomal RNA
Rfam family: Bacterial small subunit ribosomal RNA
Source: RNAcentral